This 402-nucleotide ribosomal RNA is filed under the name uncultured prokaryote. RNAcentral's name for it is "bacterial SSU rRNA". It matches the Rfam family "Bacterial small subunit ribosomal RNA", at positions 355 to 774 of the family's 1533-position model. The record is from RNAcentral.
UGGGGAAUAUUGCACAAUGGGGGAAACCCUGAUGCAGCAACGCCGCGUGAGUGAUGACGGCCUUCGGGUUGUAAAGCUCUGUCUUCAGGGACGAAAAUGACGGUACCUGAGGAGGAAGCCACGGCUAACUACGUGCCAGCAGCCGCGGUAAUACGUAGGUGGCGAGCGUUGUCCGGAUUUACUGGGCGUAAAGGGUGCGUAGGCGGACUUUUAAGUGAGAUGUGAAAUACCCGGGCUCAACUUGGGUGCUGCAUUUGAAACUGGAUGUCUAGAGUGCAGGAGAGGAGAAUGGAAUUCCUAGUGGAGCGGUGAAAUGCGUAGAGAUUAGGAAGAACACCAGUGGCGAAGGCGAUUCUCUGGACUGUAACUGACGCUGAGGCUCGAAAGCGUGGGGAGCAAACA